Molecule: ribosomal RNA, 396 nt
Filed under: uncultured bacterium
Lineage: Bacteria
Description: partial 16S ribosomal RNA
Rfam family: Bacterial small subunit ribosomal RNA
Source: RNAcentral
AUACGUAGGUGGCAAGCGUUGUCCGGAAUUAUUGGGCGUAAAGCGCAUGUAGGCGGUUUGGUAAGUCGGUCGUGAAAAUGCGGCGCUUAACGCCGUAUGGCGAUUGAAACUGCUGAACUUGAGUGCAGGAGAGGAAAGGGGAACUCCCAGUGUAGCGGUGAAAUGCGGAGAUAUUGGGAAGAACACCGGUGGCGAAGGCGCCUUUCUGGACUGUGUCUGACGCUCAGAUGCGAAAGCCAGGGUAGCGAACGGGAUUAGAUACCCCGGUAUUCCUGGCCGUAAACGAUGGGUACUAGGUGUGGGAGGUAUCGACUCCUUCCGUGCCGGAGUUAACGCAAUAAGUACCCCGCCUGGGGAGUACGGCCGCAAGGCUUAAACUCAAAUGAAUUGACGGGG